ACGGCACGAGGAUGUUGCUU
RNAcentral lists this microRNA (20 nucleotides) under Drosophila pseudoobscura. RNAcentral describes it as "dps-miR-2568a-3p". The record is from miRBase by way of RNAcentral. Lineage: Eukaryota; Metazoa; Arthropoda; Insecta; Diptera; Drosophilidae.